Molecule: ribosomal RNA, 1353 nt
Filed under: uncultured marine eukaryote
Lineage: Eukaryota
Description: SSU rRNA
Rfam family: Eukaryotic small subunit ribosomal RNA
Source: RNAcentral
CACUUCUAAGGAAGGCAGCAGGCGCGCAAAUUACCCAAUCCUGACUCAGGGAGGUAGUGACAAGAAAUAACAAUAAACCGGCUUAUGCCGGUUUAAUUGGAAUGAGUACAAUUUAAACAUCUUAACGAGGAACAAUUGGAGGGCAAGUCUGGUGCCAGCAGCCGCGGUAAUUCCAGCUCCAAUAGCGUAUACUAAAGUUGUUGCAGUUAAAAAGCUCGUAGUUGGAUUUCUGUGGGGACGGAGCGGCCGGCCGCACAUCGCGGUUCGAGCUAGCGCUUUCCCUACAUCCUGCCGCGAACCGUGCUACCAUUAAUUUGGUGGCGCCGGGGAUCGGCUCGAUUACUUUGAGAAAAAUAGAGUGUUCAAAGCAGGCCACAUGCCUUGAAUAAGUUAGCAUGGAAUAAUAACUAAGGACUUCGGUUCUAUUUUGUUGGUGUUCGGGACUGAAGUAAUGAUUGAUAGGGACAGUUGGGGCGGUCUGUAUUCCAAAGCGAGAGGUGAAAUUCUUAGACCUUCGGAAGACAAACAGCUGCGAAAGCGUUCCGCAAGGAUGUUCCCUUUGAUCAAGAACGAAAGUUGGGGGAUCGAAGACGAUCAGAUACCGUCGUAGUCUCAACUAUAAACUAUACCAGCUAGGGAUCGGCCAACGUUAUUUUAUACCGACUUGGUCGGCACCUUAUGAGAAAUCAAAGCAUCUGGGUUCCGGGGGGAGUAUGGUCGCAAGGCUGAAACUUAAAGGAAUUGACGGAAGGGCACCACCAGCCGUGGAGCCUGUGGCUUAAUUUGACUCAACACGGGAAAACUUACCAGGUCCAGACAUAGUAAGGAUUGACAGAUUGAUAGCUCUUUCUUGAUUCUGUGGGUGGUGGUGCAUGGCCGUUCUUAGUUGGUGGAGUGAUUUGUCUGGUUAAUUCCGUUAACGAACGAGACCCCAGCCUGCUAAAUAGCGCGCAUGAGCUUUGCUCGUGGCGAGCUUCUUAGAGGGACUAUGAUGCGCGAUAGCACAUGGAAGUUUGGGGCAAUAACAGGUCUGUGAUGCCCUUAGAUGUUCUGGGCUGCACACGGGCUACACUGGCGCCUGCAACGAGCAUAUCAGCUGGCCCGAGAGGGUCUUGGCUAAUCUUUUGAACCGGCGCCGUGCUUGGGAUUGACCUUUGCAAUUGUUGGUCAUGCAACGAGGAAUGCCUUGUAAACGCGAGUCAUCAGCUCGCAUUGAAUACGUCCCUGCCCUUUGUACACACCGCCCGUCGCUCCUACCGAUGAAUGUUCCGAUGAAAUUUUCGGAGAGCACCUGUGAACUUGGCUCUGCCUUGCGAACGGGAGGCUCAAAGUCACUUAAAUCUGAACAUUUCG